RNAcentral lists this ribosomal RNA (1303 nucleotides) under uncultured bacterium. RNAcentral's name for it is "bacterial SSU rRNA". It matches the Rfam family "Bacterial small subunit ribosomal RNA", at positions 28 to 1389 of the family's 1533-position model. The record is from RNAcentral.
GAUGAAUGCUGGCGGCGUGGAUGAGGCAUGCAAGUCGAAUGAAUUUAGAUUCAUGGCAGACGAGGUAGGAACACGUAGGUACGUACCCUAAAGUCAGGGAUAAUCCGUCGAAAGGCGGGAUAAUACUUGAUGGUCCCUUCGGGGUAAAGAUUUAUCGCUUUAGGAACGGCCUGCGGGCUAUCAGCUUGUUGGUAAGGUAACGGCUUACCAAGGCUACGACGGCUAGGGGAGGUGAGAGCCUGACCCCCACCGAUGGAACUGCGACACGGUCCAUACUCCUACGGGAGGCUGCAGUCGAGAAUCUUCCGCAAUGGACGAAAGUCUGACGGAGCGACGCCGCGUGGUGGAUGAAGCCCUUUGGGGCGUAAACACCUUUUAUGAGGGAGGAAGUUUAUUGACGUUACCUCAUGAAUAAGGGGCUCCCAACUCUGUGCCAGCAGGAGCGGUAAUACAGAGGCCCCAAGCAUUAUCCGGAUUCACUGGGCGUAAAGGGUGCGUAGGCGGUGUGAUUAGUCAGGUGUUAAAUCCUGGGGCUUAACCUCAGAAUCGCAUUUGAAACGGUCAUACUAGAAGAAGUGAGAGGUAAACAGAACUCUCGGUGUAGGGGGUGAAAUCCGUUGAUAUCGAGGGGAAUACCAAAUGCGAAGGCAGUUUACUGGCACUUUCUUGACGCUGAGGCACGAAAGCGUGGGUAGCGAAUCGGAUUAGAUACCCGAGUAGUCCACGCCCUAAACGCUGUCUGUUGGUUAUGGGGAGAAUCGACCCUCUCCGUGACGAAGUUAACACGUUAAACAGACCGCCUGGGUAGUACGAGCGCAAGCUUAAAACUCAAAGGAAUAGACGGGGGCUCGCACAAGCGGUGGAUCAUGAGGCUUAAUUCGUCGAUAAGCGAAAAACCUUACCGAGGCUAGAAACCAUACUGCAUACUCUCUGAAAGGAGAGUAGCCUUCGAGGGUGUAUGGCAGGUGAUGCAUGGCCGUCGUCAGUUCGUGGCUUGAGCUGUUCCCUUAAGUGGGGAAACGAACGCAACCCUCGUUGCCUGUUACAAGUGUCAGGCGAGACUGCUCCCUCACGGGAGAGGAAGGUGAGGAUGACGCCAGGUCAGCAUGUCCCUUGAUGCCUCGGGCUGCACUCGUGAUACAAUGGGACGUACAAAGGGACGCAAUACCGUAAGGUGGAGCAAAUCCUGAUAAAACGUUCCUCAGUUCGGAUUGUGGGCUGCAACUCGCCCACAUGAAGCCGGAAUCGCUAGUAAUCGUGAAUCAGCACGUCACGGUGAAUACGUUCCCGAGCCUUGUACUCA